This 253-nucleotide ribosomal RNA is filed under the name uncultured bacterium. RNAcentral describes it as "partial 16S ribosomal RNA". It matches the Rfam family "Bacterial small subunit ribosomal RNA", at positions 524 to 776 of the family's 1533-position model. The record is from RNAcentral.
UACGUAGGGGGCGAGCGUUGUUCGGAGUUACUGGGCGUAAAGGGCAUGCAGGCGGUCGGACGCGUUUUGUGUGACAGCGGGUGGCUCAACUACGCGAGCAUACGAAAGACGGUUUGACUUGAGGGCUCGAGAGGGACACGGAAUUCCGGGUGGAGUGGUGAAAUGCGUAGAGAUCCGGAGGAACACCGAAGGCGAAGGCAGUGUCCUGGCGAGUGACUGACGCUGAGGUGCGAAAGCCAGGGGAGCGAACGGG